Papaver somniferum (opium poppy) is the source of this 242-nucleotide long non-coding RNA. RefSeq lists it as uncharacterized. Lineage: Eukaryota; Viridiplantae; Streptophyta; Magnoliopsida; Ranunculales; Papaveraceae. The transcript is spliced from 3 exons. The record is from RefSeq and is a predicted model, not a curated record.
AAUAAGCCCUUUAUCUGCACAAUGGAUACAAUUGGUGCCAAUGAAAAUGUGCAGAGAAUUGGAGGUGUGGGGCUUACUAUACACGAAGAACUUACUGGACAGGGAUCUUUCGAGCAAUAAUUUUUCAGGAUAGGUGCCAUCUUCUAUUGCUGAUCUGGAGCAUCCGCCUACCUUGUAAGUAAAACUGGCUUGCUCUGAAGAGUCGGUUCAGUUUCCUAAUAUCAACUCCUUAUAAGGCCCUG